Non-coding RNA from Cyanistes caeruleus (blue tit), 1400 nucleotides. Lineage: Eukaryota; Metazoa; Chordata; Aves; Passeriformes; Paridae. The record is from RefSeq and is a predicted model, not a curated record.
AAGGUACAGAGAAAAGGGAAACAGAGUCAAAGUGAAAAGAAACUAAGUCCAAGUCAGAGUCACAGAGAAAAGGGAAACAGAGUGAGAGCAAAAAGAAACUAAAUCCAAGUCAGAGAGAAAAGGGAAACAGAGGGGGAGCAAAAAGAAACUGAGUCAGAGUCACAGUCACAGAGAAAAGGGAAAGAGAGGGGGAGCAAAAAGAAACUAAGUCCAAGUCAAAGUCAGAGUCAGAGUUACAGAGAAAAGGGAAACAGAGUGAGAGCAAAAAGAAACUAAGUCCAAGUCAGAGUCACAGAGAAAAGGGAAACAGAGGGGGAGCAAAAAGAAACUAAGUCCAAGUCAGAGUCACAGAGAAAAGGGAAACAGAGUCAAAGUGAAAAGAAAGAGAGGGACAGUGGAGAGAAACCAACUCUACUUCCUUUCCAUCUAACUCAGAGGCAGAGAGAAAGGAAACUGAGACAAUCCCUGUUCACUGUAACUCGGAGUUACAGUGGAAAGGAAUCGAGUCCAGUUGCUUUCUGUCUAACUCGGAGCUAGAGGGAAAGGAAACCGAGUUGGAGAGAAAAGAAACCGAGGGAGAGUGGAGAGAAACUAACUCUAUUUCUUUUCUUUCUAACUCAGAGGCAGAGAGAAAGGAAACUUAGACAAUUCCUGUUCACCGUAACUCGGAGUUACGGUGGAAAGGAAUCGAGUCCAGUUGCUUUCUGUCUAACUCGGAGCUAGAGGGAAAGGAAACAGAGUUGGAGAGAAAAGAAACAGAAAAAUAGAGUGAGCAACAGUGACAGAGACUUAGAGAAAGUUAGAAAGAGAUUGAAAAGCAAGAAAUAGAAUGAAAAUAAUGACUACACCACACCAAAAACACAAGAGCCGGGGGGGAGAGGGGGGAGGGGGAUGAAGGUUUAUUCACCUUUAUUUAAUGAAUUUAUUUACACUACAGCAAAACACAGAGAAACUGGAGACAAAUGCAUUACAAUACAAUCCAUGUACACACUGAAAAAUUCCUAAUUCACAUACAGAGUAAUACAGUGAAACACAGCAGCAAAUGCAAAUACAGAACAAUACAAGCCAAAUACAUAUUAACAGAAUAUAACUAUUUCUACAGUUCUGGAAAGGUCAAUACAUGCUGUUUCAUUAUUACUGCUAUGCCAAACCACAAGGAGCACACAGAAAACACAAUACUCAUUCGCCACAGAAGCCGGCUUCAGCUCGCACACAUACUCACCUUCACACUCCUCUCCACCGCCCCAUUAUAAUCCUGCUGUCGUUGGUCCUCGGGAACGUGGUUCCCGGGACCCUGAAAAUCAGCCUGCCUGACGAAAACCUCGGUCCGGGGCCGGUCCGUGCCCAAACUUUGGCGAUGACUGUCGCCUCGCAGACCGGCCGGGACCGAGGAAAAAAAA